RNAcentral lists this ribosomal RNA (465 nucleotides) under Vreelandella stevensii. RNAcentral describes it as "partial 16S ribosomal RNA". It matches the Rfam family "Bacterial small subunit ribosomal RNA", at positions 338 to 795 of the family's 1533-position model. Lineage: Bacteria; Pseudomonadati; Pseudomonadota; Gammaproteobacteria; Oceanospirillales; Halomonadaceae. The record is from RNAcentral.
CCUACGGGUGGCUGCAGUGGGGAAUAUUGGACAAUGGGGGCAACCCUGAUCCAGCCAUGCCGCGUGUGUGAAGAAGGCCCUCGGGUUGUAAAGCACUUUCAGUGAGGAAGAAUGCCUGGUGGUUAAUACCCAUCAGGAAAGACAUCACUCACAGAAGAAGCACCGGCUAACUCCGUGCCAGCAGCCGCGGUAAUACGGAGGGUGCGAGCGUUAAUCGGAAUUACUGGGCGUAAAGCGCGCGUAGGUGGCUUGAUAAGCCGGUUGUGAAAGCCCCGGGCUCAACCUGGGAACGGCAUCCGGAACUGUCAAGCUAGAGUGCAGGAGAGGAAGGUAGAAUUCCCGGUGUAGCGGUGAAAUGCGUAGAGAUCGGGAGGAAUACCAGUGGCGAAGGCGGCCUUCUGGACUGACACUGACACUGAGGUGCGAAAGCGUGGGUAGCAAACAGGAUUAGAUACCCGGGUAGUC